UGCACGCUCCUUAGAUCCACCUUUGAAUAAUAAUAAGAGGUGAUUGAGUCAUAAGUGUGCUAUAUUAAGAUACCUCCUUGAUACAACUGUUCCAGUGAUGUUUUUUCUUAAUGAAGCAUCGUUAGUUGUUUCAAGGGGAACAC
Molecule: small nucleolar RNA, 143 nt
Organism: Leptinotarsa decemlineata (Colorado potato beetle)
Lineage: Eukaryota; Metazoa; Arthropoda; Insecta; Coleoptera; Chrysomelidae
Product: small nucleolar RNA SNORA53
Source: RefSeq, a predicted model, not a curated record